This 65-nucleotide transfer RNA is filed under the name Gordonia neofelifaecis NRRL B-59395. RNAcentral's name for it is "tRNA-Ser". The record is from RNAcentral. Lineage: Bacteria; Bacillati; Actinomycetota; Actinomycetes; Mycobacteriales; Gordoniaceae.
GGGCCGAUACAGGGCUAGGCACACUGGCAGUGUGGGGGUCAGGGGUUCGAGUCCCCUUAGCUCCA